Bombina bombina (fire-bellied toad) is the source of this 80-nucleotide small nucleolar RNA. RefSeq annotates it as small nucleolar RNA SNORD72. Lineage: Eukaryota; Metazoa; Chordata; Amphibia; Anura; Bombinatoridae. The transcript has a single exon. The record is from RefSeq and is a predicted model, not a curated record.
AGCUUAUCUAUGAUGUUUAUCAAAUAAAUGUCUGAACAUAUGAAUUCAUUAGUGAUUUUGCUUUUUAUCUGAGAUAAGCU